Molecule: ribosomal RNA, 396 nt
Filed under: uncultured bacterium
Lineage: Bacteria
Description: bacterial SSU rRNA
Rfam family: Bacterial small subunit ribosomal RNA
Source: RNAcentral
UAUUGCACAAUGGGGGAAACCCUGAUGCAGCGACGCCGCGUGAGUGAAGAAGUAUUUCGGUAUGCAAAGCUCUAUCAGCAGGGAAGAAAAAAGACGGUACCUGACUAAGAAGCACCGGCUAACUACGAGCCAGCAGCCGCGGUAAUACGCAGGGGGCAAGCGUUAUCCGGAUUUACUGGGUGUAAAGGGAGCGUAGAAGGCGCGGCAAGUCUGAAGUGAAAGGCAGGGGCUUAACCCCUGAACUGCUUUGGAAACUGCCAUGCUAGAGUGCGGGAGAGGUAAGUGGAAUUCCUAGUGUAGCGGUGAAAUGCGUAGAUAUUAGGAGGAACACCAGUGGCGAAGGCGGCUUACUGGACAGUAACUGACGUUGAGGCUCGAAAGCGUGGGGAGCAAACA